ACCAGACUCCUACGGGAGGCAGCAGUGAGGAAUAUUGGUCAAUGAGCGCGAGCCUGAACCAGCCAAGUCGCGUGAGGGAAGACGGCCCUACGGGUUGUAAACCUCUUUUGCCGGGGAGCAACGGGCGCCACGUGUGGCGCCACUGAGAGUACCCGGAGAAAAAGCAUCGGCUAACUCCGUGCCAGCAGCCGCGGUAAUACGGAGGAUGCGAGCGUUAUCCGGAUUUAUUGGGUUUAAAGGGUGCGUAGGCGGGAUGCCAAGUCAGCGGUAAAAAUGCGGGGCUCAACGCCGUCGAGCCGUUGAAACUGACGGUCUUGAGUGGGCGAGAAGUAUGCGGAAUGCGUGGUGUAGCGGUGAAAUGCAUAGAUAUCACGCAGAACUCCGAUUGCGAAGGCAGUAUACCGGCGCCCAACUGACGCUGAAGCACGAAAGCGUGGGUAUCGAACAGGAUUAGAUACCCCGGUAAUG
Molecule: ribosomal RNA, 468 nt
Filed under: uncultured bacterium
Lineage: Bacteria
Description: bacterial SSU rRNA
Rfam family: Bacterial small subunit ribosomal RNA
Source: RNAcentral